ACUAUACACCACACCCAAGUGCAAGUGCCUGAUCCCGCCCGAUCUGGGAAGCUAAGCAGGGUUGUGCUUGGUCAGUACUUGGAUGGGAGACCACCUUGGAAGACCAGCGGGUUGAGUC
RNAcentral lists this ribosomal RNA (118 nucleotides) under Mastacembelus armatus (zig-zag eel). Lineage: Eukaryota; Metazoa; Chordata; Actinopteri; Synbranchiformes; Mastacembelidae. The record is from RNAcentral.